GUGCUGGCUCCUAAUCUCACCAAGCACAGAGGUCUGUUACCCAGUCCAUCAUAGGGUCAUUCAUUCCUCACCCUUCCCCGUCCUCUCCCCAGGUGCCAUGCAUCCCAGAGACAGCAGGGCUUGAGUGGGCUACCUGGGCAACCCUCCCCUGCCUGGCCCGGCCUCCCACCUCCUCCACGGGUGUGUGUGUGUGUGUGUGUGUGUGUCUUAAAUCAUGGCCUGGCAGCUAAUUCUUUGCAGCUUGCGGGUUGCUGCCUCCAUGAGCAGACAGGAGGGCGCCCUGACACAGUUAAAGAUCACAAGCUUUGAUAACUGGGCCUUCUGAUUUACGGUAAUCCAGGUCUCCACGUUCCCCUAAUGAGGGGAACUCGGAGUGUCAACCCGUUUAUUAAAUGCUCAGAACCAUGUGUGAGCCGGACCGAGGGUCCCUGGACACUGGGUUCCAGCUGCUUACUCGGAGAAGACUUUGUAUGGAGUCUGGCAAAUCUUUCCAGCUGAGCAGGGAGGAAAAUAUUUCAGCACAGACAUUUGUGACCCUUCAUGAAGCUCCAGAGUUGGAAGCCAGACCGGGACCUAUAGUCCUUGCUCCCACACAUUAGGCCCAGGGCCCGGGUUGGCAGCCCCUGCUGACUUUUUCCUGCUGUUUGGAAAAACACCCCUCCGGUCACCACCUUCCAACUCACAUUGCCCACAACGUGGAUGCCAGGAGGGAACAGGAAGUGGCUUGAGAAAAUAAACCCAGCUCACUGGGCCUGUGGAUGGCACCCUCUCCACGCCAGAAAGCGGCAAGCUGGCUUGGAGAAAUAUAUCCUGGCGGGCCCCAUUUUCUCCAGAGUCCAAUGGGGCAAACAACAGUCCCAGCUGGAUUCAACGAAGAGCUUAGAAGAUUCAUUUGAAGCAGCCCACAGGGAAGGGUGUCGCUGA
Molecule: long non-coding RNA, 924 nt
Filed under: Bos indicus x Bos taurus (hybrid cattle)
Lineage: Eukaryota; Metazoa; Chordata; Mammalia; Artiodactyla; Bovidae
Description: lncRNA (ENSBIXG00005024952.1)
Source: RNAcentral